UACGUAGGCAGCGAGCGUUGUUCGGAAUUACUGGGCGUAAAGAGUGUGUAGGCGGUGUUCCAAGUCUGGUGUGAAAUCUCCCGGCUCAACUGGGAGGGUGCGCCGGAAACUGGAAUGCUAGAGGGCGGGAGAGGUAAGCGGAAUUCCUGGUGUAGCGGUGAAAUGCGUAGAUAUCAGGAGGAACACCGGUGGCGAAGGCGGUUCUCUGGGCCUUACCUGACGCUGAGGAGCGAAAGCGUGGGGAGCGAACAGG
Molecule: ribosomal RNA, 253 nt
Filed under: uncultured bacterium
Lineage: Bacteria
Description: partial 16S ribosomal RNA
Rfam family: Bacterial small subunit ribosomal RNA
Source: RNAcentral